GACGAACGCUGGCGGCGUGCUUAACACAUGCAAGUCGAACGGAAAGGCCCUGCUUUUGUGGGGUGCUCGCGUGGCGAACGGGUGAGUAACACGUGAGUAACCUGCCCUUGACUUUGGGAUAACUUCAGGAAACUGGGGCUAAUACCGGAUAGGAGCUCCUGCUGCAUGGUGGGGGUUGGAAAGUUUCGGCGGUUGGGGAUGGACUCGCGGCUUAUCAGCUUGUUGGUGGGGUAGUGGCUUACCAAGGCUUUGACGGGUAGCCGGCCUGAGAGGGUGACCGGCCACAUUGGGACUGAGAUACGGCCCAGACUCCUACGGGAGGCAGCAGUGGGGAAUAUUGCACAAUGGGCGGAAGCCUGAUGCAGCAACGCCGCGUGCGGGAUGACGGCCUUCGGGUUGUAAACCGCUUUCGCCUGUGACGAAGCGUGAGUGACGGUAAUGGGUAAAGAAGCACCGGCUAACUACGU
Molecule: ribosomal RNA, 467 nt
Filed under: uncultured bacterium
Lineage: Bacteria
Description: partial 16S ribosomal RNA
Rfam family: Bacterial small subunit ribosomal RNA
Source: RNAcentral